Molecule: ribosomal RNA, 342 nt
Filed under: Tritrichomonas foetus
Lineage: Eukaryota; Parabasalia; Tritrichomonadida; Tritrichomonadidae
Description: partial small subunit ribosomal RNA
Source: RNAcentral
AUGCGUAAGUCAUACUUAUAAACCAGCUUAAAGCACGGUCCCUAAACAAUGGAUGUCUUGAACGGACGCCAUGAAGAACGAUGCAAAGAGUAACAUUUAACUGUGGUAUCAAAGAUUGGGACAACUUUCUCUUUGAAUGCUUAUUGCUUAUACUGGAACUUGCGCGCAUGUUUUAUAUUCUAGUACUGCAUCUUUUAAAAAUUCUUCUUUUAAAAUUUACAAAUAAAUUCUCUUUUUACGUAAUCAGCAAAAUGUAAGAAAACCCGCUGAAAUGGGUUCUGUCACUAAUCGGAAGAAAAGAUACUAAAAAGCAUCUCAUUAAGCGGAGGAAAAGAAACUAAA